GGCUCUGUGGUCUAGUGGUAUGAUUCUCGCUUUGGGUCGAUAUCGAAGUUGCGAGAGGCCCCGGGUUCGAAUCCCGGCAGAGCCC
Ustulina deusta is the source of this 85-nucleotide non-coding RNA. NCBI's taxonomy places the organism in Eukaryota, Fungi, Ascomycota, Sordariomycetes, Xylariales, Xylariaceae. The record is from the annotation of a GenBank genome assembly.